GGACGGGGUGGGCGGGGCAGCGGAAUGGGGCGGGGCGAGUUGCGCGGCUGCUGCUUGGGACCCGCCCGCUCCACGAAGGCAAUUGGGAAAUCUGAGAAAUGUAUUGAGCGUCUGCUACGUGCCUCUGACUGUGUGUCUCCAAGUUUGCAUGUAGUUGGAAUGACCAGCAGGACAGUACCAGCCAAGAGCUUUAAGCUUUACAGCCUGAGACCACCAGAGACAAUCCUUAGACAAGGCUGGUUGACUACAGCAGAUGCUGUGCUGUGUUGCUCAGAUCCAUAUUCAGGACGGAAGAACUUAUUUCCCUCAACUGCUGCAAGUGCUGUAGACUGCAUCCAGCUAUUUGUUGUGGGAGAAUAAAAUACUGGCCCCCUCACCCCAACUUGGGACAACUCUUGGCCAUCACAGCUCUAGAGCUCCCCAUGGGAUCAGCUGAAGCCUCACUGAGACUGCCUUGAAGCCCAGCUCCUCCCUCUGCCCAGUCUGGCUCCCUUCCCUUCCCCUUCAGUGUGCCUGGACUCUUCAUCGGGUCAAAACUUUUUGAGGUGUUUCUGAUCCUGUUUCAUCCUAAACAUUUGUCACUUGAUGAGGGAAGUUGCUGAGAGAAGCAACUGGAAGCAAGUAGAGAGAAACAGGAAAAGAAAGAAGUUACACUCUGCCUCAUGAGCCAACUGGAGAACUGAGCUCAGCAUCUUGCCUUAUUGGUGCACAUUCUAUUCACAUAAUGAAGUUCUUUCAUUUUCUGCUUGGAGAGACCUGCUGACCUCACACCUGAAUGAGGCGAUGUCGUCCUCCCUUCCAGUCUCUCAGAACCCAGCCACCAUCUUGUGAGGAAGCUUCCCACGUGGAGAGGGCCUAAGGACUUCUGACAGCAGCCAAAACCAACUUACCAGCUCUGUGAGCGAACCACCUUGGAAGUCUGUCCUCCAGACCAAGUGAAGCCUUCAGAUGACUGUAGUCACACCUAACAUCUGACUAUGACCUCACGAGGGACCCCUAACCAGAACCACUCGGCUAAACUACUGCCGGAUUCACAACCCACAGAAACCAUGAAAGACAUAAAUGGUCAUUGCCAUCUUAACCCGCUAAGUUUUGCAGUGAUUUUUUUUAUGCAGCUUUAGAGAACAAAGGAGAGGAGUGCAACAGAAAGGGGCCAUCCCAGAACCCUCAAAGGUGUGGGGCCUAGGACAGGGCCUCUUUUGCCUGGAUUUAGGGCCGUACUGAGGAAAGGAUAUGGAUUUUAUUUCAGUAGCUGGGUAUUUCCUAGGGAGGGAUGAGCUUAUUUAUACAAAAGAGGAACUUGCAGGACUGAGCAGGUGUUGGAGAUCAGGAAAUGUUUUUAUAAAAGCUGUAACAAAGCAGCCCUUUAUCUGGAGUAUACAAAGAAAUGAAAAUCUAAUGAGACCAUUUAUUUGCUUGAUUGUAUAAACACACAAAAAUGUACACAUCUUGGAAUAGUCACAGCGGAAGGAGAUCUGCUUAAGCCAGUGAUGCCGUCUGUCACUUUUCAAAAAUGCCUGUGAAACUUCUCUUUCGGAAUUGCCCACAAAGCUGGAUUACGAGCUUCCCAUGAAACCAGACUCAUCACUCAAGCUGCGACUUGGUUUGUGACCCCAGACAGCAUUUCCCAGCUUGAUCACCCAACCUACUCAGCAGACUUCGUUCUGAAUGACUUAGAACUGUUUCCAAAACUCACACCCGCCCUUGGAGGAUACAUGCUGUCAGACUUAUCUUUCUGCCACACCUCGGAUCAUGCGCUUCAGUGCCUCUCGGUUGCAUAGAGAAUUAAGCUCCAACAUGUCAGCUAGAUUUUCAGAACUUUAUACAACAUGCAGCCCCCACCUAGCUUUGCAGUUCUAUCAUCCCAGAACACACGAUGCCCUCUCUACUUACUGAUGAUAGGUACCAUUUACUGAGCCCUUAUUAUGUGCCCCACACUGUGCUAAGAGCUUAAUAUAAUCUCUCAUUUUGUCCUUAUAUGACUUUGUAAGAUAAAUGUUAUCUCUAUAGUAUAAAUAAUAAUAAAACAGGGGUCACUAACACUUUGUACAGCAGUUACAAUGUGCUAAGCCACCGUCCAAUAGAAAUAUGAGCCAUAUUUGUCAUUUUAAUUUUCUAAUUGCCACACUAAAAAAGUAAAAACUAGGUGAAAUUGAUUUUAAUAAAGUAUUUUAUCAAUGAGCAUUUAAUCAAUAUAAAAACUUUUUAAUGAUAUAUAUCAUAUUCUUUUUUAGUGUGUAUUAAAUCUUUGAAAUCCAUUGUGUAUUUUACACCUACAGCACGUCUCAAUUUGGACACUAAAUUUUUAUUGGAAAUACUUGAUCUAUAUUUAAAUAUUGUAAAAAGUACAGUGAAAAAAGUAGAUUCACAUACCCAAGUUGUUCCAAACAUGCUUAAAAGAUUUCCAAUACCUGAAUCAAGUACCAAAUAAUCAUUUUUUUCUAUGCUCAUCCCUAUUGACAAAACUGAUUUAAUUUUAAACUUUUAACUUCACUUUCAAUCAAUUAAAAUUAAAUAAAAUUAAAAAUUUAGUUUCUCAGUUGCACUAGCCACUUACCAAGUGCUCAUGUGGUUAGUGGCUGCCAUGUUGGGCAAUGCAACUCUAGGCACUUUACUACUGUCAACACAAACGUUUGAGGUAGCUUCAUUUUACAGAUAAAGAAAUAGAGGCAUAGAGAAGUAGUAACUUGCACUAGUAUACACAGUUAAUAAGCUGAUGUUCAGAAUGGUUGAUUUACCUUAGCUAGUAAAGGUUGGAAACAGGAUUUGAACUCAGGAUUGUUUGUGUCCAAAGUCUAAAUUCUUAUCCACUGUGCUAGUCUGCUCUACAGACUUAAUUUCUCACUAUUCUCCUAAAAUCCUUACUUUCUUGAUUCUGGUCUUUUUAUCAGACUGUUUCCUCUGUCUAGAAUGCCAUGGAAGGCCCAUUUUGAAUGUUAUUCAUUCAUUCAGACAGUCAUUCAGUCAAUCACUUUUUCAACAAAUAUUGCCAGCCAUGUUUCAAAUAUCUCCCACGUGAAAUACAGCCGUGAUCAAGACAGACGUCCCCCCUGCCCGCACAGAGCUUCAAUUCUGCCGUAACGCUUCUCACACUUCGGUCUCAGGAUUCUGUAACACUCUGAACGUUAUUGAGGACCCGAAGGGCUUUUGAUUAUGUGAGUUAUAGCUGCCAAUCUUUAUUGUACUAGAAAUUAAAACUAGGAAAUUGUAAAAAUAUUUAUUCAUUCAUUCAAAAAUAACAUGAUGAACAUAUUACAUGUAAACAUAAAUAAUGUAUAACUGAAAAGACAACUAUAUUUUCCAAAACAAAAAAUAAGAGUAGCAUUGUUUUAUAAUUUUGCUAAUCUCUUUAAUGUGUGACCUAAUAAAAGGCAGCUGGGUUCUCAUCUCUGCUUUUGUCUUUAAUCUGUUGCAAUUUGUCAUUUUGGUUGAAGUAUGUAAGAAAAUCUUGCCUCACUAAGAUAUAUAAUUGGAAAACAGAGGAGUAUCUUAAAUGCUUUUUCAGAUAAUUGCGGAAAUUCUUCUUUGUUACUAUACCAAAAAUCAACAAGUGCUAAUUUCUUUAAAGUUAGCUACAAUGUGGAAUCUGAAACCAUAUCAAUGGUAAAUAUAUGUUUCAUUGAUCCUUUCUAUUGUCUUUUUUGUUUCAAUAUCGUUUAUUUCUGCUCUUAUUUUUAUUAUUUCCCUCCUUCUACUGACUCUGGGCCUUGUUUGUUCUUCUUUUUCUAGUUCUGUUAGGUGUCGUUUGAGGUUGCUUACGUGAGCUUUUUCUUGUUUAGUGAGGUGAGCCUGUAUUGCGAUGAAUUUCCCUCUUAGGACUGCUUUUGCUGCAUCCCAGAUGAUUUGGUAUGUCGUGUUCUCAUUUUCAUUUGUCUCCAGAUAAUAUUUGAUUUCUUCUUUAAUUUCUUCAAUGAUCCAUUGUUUGUUGAGAAGCGUGUUGUUU
Molecule: long non-coding RNA, 3943 nt
Filed under: Equus caballus (horse)
Lineage: Eukaryota; Metazoa; Chordata; Mammalia; Perissodactyla; Equidae
Description: lncRNA (ENSECAG00000053465.1)
Source: RNAcentral